AGCGGAGUGGCCGAGAGUAGGCGGUAAACUGUAAAUUUACAUACGAAAUUAAUUUCCUCUGCUA
This 64-nucleotide transfer RNA is filed under the name Amphimallon solstitiale. Its description in RNAcentral is "tRNA-Tyr". The record is from RNAcentral. Lineage: Eukaryota; Metazoa; Arthropoda; Insecta; Coleoptera; Scarabaeidae.